RNAcentral lists this ribosomal RNA (253 nucleotides) under uncultured bacterium. RNAcentral describes it as "partial 16S ribosomal RNA". It matches the Rfam family "Bacterial small subunit ribosomal RNA", at positions 524 to 776 of the family's 1533-position model. The record is from RNAcentral.
UACGUAGGUGGCAAGCGUUAUCCGGAUUUACUGGGUGUAAAGGGCGUGUAGGCGGGACUGCAAGUCAGAUGUGAAGAUUAUGGGCUCAACCCAUAACCUGCAUUUGAAACUGUAGUUCUUGAGUGAUGGAGAGGCAGGCGGAACUCCGUGUGUAGCGGUGAAAUGCGUAGAUAUACGGAGGAACACCAGUGGCGAAGGCGGCCUGCUGGACAUUAACUGACGCUGAGGCGCGAAAGCGUGGGGAGCAAACAGG